RNAcentral lists this ribosomal RNA (249 nucleotides) under uncultured bacterium. RNAcentral describes it as "partial 16S ribosomal RNA". It matches the Rfam family "Bacterial small subunit ribosomal RNA", at positions 1243 to 1500 of the family's 1533-position model. The record is from RNAcentral.
AGGGGUGCUACCGGGUGACCGGAUGCCGAUCUCGAAAACCUGUCCCAGUUCGGACUGGAGUCUGCAACCCGACUCCACGAAGUUGGAUUCGCUAGUAAUCGCGCAUCAGCCAUGGCGCGGUGAAUACGUUCCCGGGCCUUGUACACACCGCCCGUCAAGCCAUGGGAGCCGGGGGCGCCUGAAGUCCGGGACCGCGAGGACCGGCCUAGGGCGAAACUGGUGACUGGGGCUAAGUCGUAACAAGGUAAC